UAACAUAUUUUAGAAUCAAAAAAUUUGAUAUAUUAAGAUUAAGAACUGUGGUAUAUAAUGCCCCAAGCUUCUUACUUGCAGAAAAGGACUCUUACUGAAUUUCCCCUUUCAGCUGCUUAAUAGUGAGACCAAUUAAAUGCGGAAUUUUUGGAGAUUAUUCGGAACUGCCUAACAAUAUAAGUUCUUGAGAUUUGGAUUUUGUAUGGAUUCCCCAGCUCGUGGAAAAUUUGGUACAGCUAAUUUUUAAGGAGAGAGUGAGUGGAGUUCGUACAUUAAAAUGACGCCGAUAAGCACUUCGGGUAAAAAUUCAAUUAGUUUGAUCUUCUGAAAAGCUCUAAAGUUAAUUUUAGAAAAUCUCAAAAGUUUAUAUUAUAAGAACCUUAAAAAAAUAAA
Eupeodes corollae is the source of this 393-nucleotide long non-coding RNA. RefSeq lists it as uncharacterized. The record is from RefSeq and is a predicted model, not a curated record. NCBI's taxonomy places the organism in Eukaryota, Metazoa, Arthropoda, Insecta, Diptera, Syrphidae. The transcript is spliced from 2 exons.